ACACAAAUCAACUGGGGAUCUUGGUAAAAUAUAGAUCCCCAUUCAGUAGGCCUGAGAUUCCACAGUUCCUCUCAAGCUCCCAAGUGAUGCCAAC
Molecule: microRNA precursor, 94 nt
Filed under: Marmota monax (woodchuck)
Lineage: Eukaryota; Metazoa; Chordata; Mammalia; Rodentia; Sciuridae
Source: RNAcentral